AUGGAGGUGCAGGCCCAAGUACUUCAAAUCAUCAACAAGAAAUCCAAGAAAGAACAGCGAAGGAAAAACGUGACAAGAAAAGUGUUUUCUCGACUCGAGAUGUUAGAAGGUGCUAAAUCAAUAGGUGCCGGAGCUGCUACAAUUGCUUUAGCCGGAGCUGCUGUCGGUAUUGGAAACGUCCUCAGUUCUUUGAUUCAUUCCGUGGCGCGAAAUCCAUCAUUGGCUAAACAAUCAUUUGGUUAUGCCAUUUUGGGCUUUGCUCUCACCGAAGCUAUUGCAUUGUUUGCCCCAAUGAUGGCCUUUCUGAUCUCAUUCGUUUUCCGAUCGCAUAAAAAGUCAUGA
RNAcentral lists this ribosomal RNA (342 nucleotides) under Triticum aestivum (bread wheat). Its description in RNAcentral is "partial small subunit ribosomal RNA". The record is from RNAcentral. Lineage: Eukaryota; Viridiplantae; Streptophyta; Magnoliopsida; Poales; Poaceae.